This 914-nucleotide ribosomal RNA is filed under the name uncultured marine archaeon. Its description in RNAcentral is "bacterial SSU rRNA". It matches the Rfam family "Archaeal small subunit ribosomal RNA", at positions 1 to 921 of the family's 1478-position model. The record is from RNAcentral.
UUCCGGUUGAUCCUGCCGAAGGCUACUGCUAUUGGAGUUCGAUUAAGCCAUGCGAGUCUAAGGGACUUCGGUCCCUGGCAUAAUGCUCAGUAACAAGUGGAUAAUCUGCCCUUAGGUGAGGAAUAAACCCGGGAAACUGGGGCUAAUACCUCAUAGACACAAGAAGCUGGAAUGCUCCUGUGUUCAAAGCUCCGGCGCCUAAGGAUGAGUCUGCUUCCUAUCAGGUUGUAGUCAGGGUCAAGACCUGACUAGCCAACGACGGGUACGGGGUGUGAGAGCACUUGCCCGGAGAUGGUUUCUGAGACACGAAACCAGGCCCUACGGGGCGCAGCAGGCGCGAAAACUUCGCAAUGCGGGAAACCGUGACGAGGGAACUCCAAGUGUCUAUGCAUUGCAUAGACUGUUUUUUAGCCUAAAUAGCUAUUAGAGUAAGGGGUGGGCAAGACCGGUGCCAGCCGCCGCGGUAACACCGGCACCUCGAGUGGUAGCCACUAUUAUUGGGCCUAAAGCGUUCGUAGCCGGUUUGGUAAAUUCUUGGGUAAAUCGUACCGCUUAACGGUGCGGAUUCCGGGGACACUACCAGACUUGAGACCGGGGGAGAUCAGAGGUACUUGCGGGGGAGCGGUGAAAUGUUGUAAUCCCGCAGGGACCACCAGUGGCGAAGGCGUCUGAUCAGAACGGCUCUGACGGUGAGGAACGAAACCCUGGGGCGCAAACGGGAUUAGAUACCCCGGUAGUCCAGGGCGUAAACGCUGCUGACUUGGUGUUGGGGAUCCCACGAGGAUGUCCAGUGCUGGCGCGAAGGUAUUAAGUCAGCCGCCUGGGGAGUACGGUCGCAAGACUGAAACUUAAAGGAAUUGGCGGGGGAGCACUGCAACGUGUGGAGCGUGCGGUUUAAUUGGAGUCAACGCCGG